This 583-nucleotide long non-coding RNA is filed under the name Homo sapiens (human). RNAcentral describes it as "HSALNT0374858". The record is from RNAcentral. Lineage: Eukaryota; Metazoa; Chordata; Mammalia; Primates; Hominidae.
UCCUGGACAACAAAGCAAGACACUGUUGCAAAAAAAAAAAAAAGAAAAGAAAAAGAAAAAAGAAUUAUCAACUCUUACUGUCCCUGAACAUUGAAGAUCAAGAGAUCAAUGACAUUCUAAAUGUUGGAAUUUACAGUCUUCCAGUCUCCUGGACCACAAUGUACAGUUAAUAGAUCUUUCCAAGCUUUAUGGUACUGAAUCCCUAAUUAGCAUUCCACUGAAGAGCUCUUAAGGAACUGAAAAGGAACUGCUGCGUACCACUCCUGCUGAUGGGUAGGUUUACAUAGGGGUAAGUAUUAUCCCUCUCCAGGGCUUUGUCAUGUUUGUUACUUAUGUACUUGCUACUAACAAAAGUAUAAUUAUCUAUUUUUCAGCAUAAAUGCUUCUGUCUCUUGGACUAGAAACCUCUCAGACCAAUGUCAAGUGAACAGCAUCAAAAGUAAAUGCUAAGCAAGAUUUACUUGCUUACAGAGUAAAAAGAAAAAGAGUAUCAGAGAAAGCCUAUUACAGUAGUAAAACAUAGACACUACGAGAAAACACAAUGAAAAUUCUAUUAAAGUUUUUUUUAAAACUUCCUAUUAUA